UGGUGGAGUGAUUUGUCUGGUUGAUUCCGUUAACGAACGAGACCUCAGCCUGCUAAAUAGUUACGCUAACAUUCUUGUUGGUGGCCAACUUCUUAGAGGGACUAUCGGCGAUUAGCCGAUGGAAGUAUGAGGCAAUAACA
Molecule: ribosomal RNA, 140 nt
Filed under: uncultured eukaryote
Lineage: Eukaryota
Description: partial 18S ribosomal RNA
Rfam family: Eukaryotic small subunit ribosomal RNA
Source: RNAcentral